GAUCAUGGCUCAGGAUGAACGCUGGCGGCGUGCUUAACACAUGCAAGUCGAACGAUUGAAGCUGGAGCUUGCUCCGGCCGAUUUAGUGGCGGACGGGUGAGUAACGCGUGGGUAACCUGCCUCAUACAGGGGGAUAGCAGUUGGAAACGACUGGUAAAACCGCAUAAGCGCACGGUAUCGCAUGAUACAGUGUGAAAACACUCCGGUGGUAUGAGAUGGACCCGCGUCUGAUUAG
This 235-nucleotide ribosomal RNA is filed under the name uncultured bacterium. RNAcentral describes it as "partial 16S ribosomal RNA". It matches the Rfam family "Bacterial small subunit ribosomal RNA", at positions 15 to 244 of the family's 1533-position model. The record is from RNAcentral.